This 720-nucleotide unclassified non-coding RNA is filed under the name Hevea brasiliensis (rubber tree). Lineage: Eukaryota; Viridiplantae; Streptophyta; Magnoliopsida; Malpighiales; Euphorbiaceae. The record is from RNAcentral.
CCAUUGAACGCCGUGGAUGCCGCCACUUUUACCAAACUCGCCUCGCAAAAUGCCCUCUCCACUAAGUUCUCCGCCUUCUGCUCCUCCGCCAAGCUCUUCUGCUUCCCCGAUUUAGCGCCCAGCCUCGAGAAGCACGAAGGAAACUCCAACUUUGCUGUCUACAGCAACAAGAACUUUACCAAUUACGGUUCGGAUUUGGUGAACGGAGUCGACUCGUUCAAGAACUAUUCAGAUGGAGAAAAUAUCCCCGUCGACUCUUUUCGGCGAUACGGCCGCGGCGCCAUUGAUCACAACGAAAAAUUUUCCACUUAUGGCCCUGACGGGAACGUCCCCGACCAAAGCUUCAACACCUAUGGUGCCCAUAGCAGCGGUGGCGCCAGCGACUUCAAGAAAUACAAUGAGCAAGUAAAUGUCCCAAAUCUUCGGUUCACAUCUUAUUCGGAUCACGGAAAUCGCAGGGCCCAAAAAUUCUCGAGCUAUACAGGGGAUACAAACUCCGGCGGUGAAUCUUUCUCCAGUUAUGGGAAGAACGGGAAUGCAAGCCCUAAUGAAUUUACGAGCUAUGCAGAGAACUCGAAUGUGAUUGGCUCAGAUUUUACGAAUUACGGCGAGAAUGAGAAUGGAGCUAAUGAUACCUUCAAGUCUUAUGGGUUCAAUGGAAAUGUUCCAGAGAACAAUUUCAAGAACUACGGCGCUGAAGGAACUGGUAGUUUUGAUACC